Lupinus angustifolius (narrow-leaved blue lupine) is the source of this 342-nucleotide ribosomal RNA. It matches the Rfam family "Bacterial large subunit ribosomal RNA", at positions 1689 to 2035 of the family's 2925-position model. The record is from Rfam. NCBI's taxonomy places the organism in Eukaryota, Viridiplantae, Streptophyta, Magnoliopsida, Fabales, Fabaceae.
CGCGAGACAACUCUCUCUAAGGAACUCGGCAAAAUAGCCCUGUAACUUUGGGAGAAGGGGUGCCUCCUCACAAAGGGGUCGCAAUGACCAGGCUCGAGCGACUGUUUAUCAAAAAACGCAGGUCUCCGCAAAGUUGUAAGACCAUGAAUGGGGGCUGAUGCCUGCCCAAUGCCGAAAGAUCAAGGAAGUUGGUGACGUGAUGACAGGGGAGCCGACGACCACAAACCCGGUGAACGGCGGCCGUAACUAUAAUGAUCCUAAGGUAGUGAAAUUCCUUGUCGCGUAAGUUCCGACCCGCACGAAAGGUGUAACGAUCUGGGCACUGUCUCGAAGAGAGACUCG